Molecule: ribosomal RNA, 482 nt
Filed under: uncultured bacterium
Lineage: Bacteria
Description: partial 16S ribosomal RNA
Rfam family: Bacterial small subunit ribosomal RNA
Source: RNAcentral
AUUGAACGCUGGCGGCAUGCUUUACACAUGCAAGUCGAACGGCAGCGCGGGGCAACCUGGCGGCGAGUGGCGAACGGGUGAGUAAUAUAUCGGAACGUACCCAGAAGUGGGGGAUAACGUAGCGAAAGUUACGCUAAUACCGCAUACGAUCUACGGAUGAAAGUAGGGGACCGCAAGGCCUUAUGCUUUUGGAUCGGCCGAUAUCUGAUUAGCUAGUUGGUGAGGUAAAGGCUCACCAAGGCGACGAUCAGGAGCUGGUCUGAGAGGAAGACCGGCCACACUGGAACUGAGACACGGUCCAGACUCCUACGGGAGGCAGCAGUGGGGAAUUUUGGACAAUGGGCGCAAGCCUGAUCCAGCAAUGCCGCGUGAGUGAAGAAGGCCUUCGGGUUGUAAAGCUCUUUUGUCAGGGAAGAAACGGUAGAGGCUAAUAUCCUUUGCUAAUGACGGUACCUGAAGAAUAAGCACCGGCUAACUACGUG